Molecule: ribosomal RNA, 495 nt
Filed under: uncultured bacterium
Lineage: Bacteria
Description: partial 16S ribosomal RNA
Rfam family: Bacterial small subunit ribosomal RNA
Source: RNAcentral
GACGAACGCUGGCGGCGUGCCUAAUACAUGCAAGUAGAACGCUGAAGGAGGAGCUUGCUUCUCUGGAUGAGUUGCGAACGGGUGAGUAACGCGUAGGUAACCUGCCUGGUAGCGGGGGAUAACUAUUGGAAACGAUAGCUAAUACUGCAUAAUAGUAGAUGUUGCAUGACAUUUACUUAAAAGGUGCAAUUGCAUCACUACCAGAUGGACCUGCGUUGUAUUAGCUAGUUGGUGGGGUAACGGCUCACCAAGGCGACGAUACAUAGCCGACCUGAGAGGGUGAUCGGCCACACUGGGACUGAGACACGGCCCAGACUCCUACGGGAGGCAGCAGUAGGGAAUCUUCGGCAAUGGACGAAAGUCUGACCGAGCAACGCCGCGUGAGUGAAGAAGGUUUUCGGAUCGUAAAGCUCUGUUGUAAGAGAAGAACGAGUGUGAGAGUGGAAAGUUCACACUGUGACGGUAUCUUACCAGAAAGGGACGGCUAACUACGUG